RNAcentral lists this long non-coding RNA (1516 nucleotides) under Triticum aestivum (bread wheat). Its description in RNAcentral is "long non-coding RNA (TAES_LNC012247)". The record is from RNAcentral. Lineage: Eukaryota; Viridiplantae; Streptophyta; Magnoliopsida; Poales; Poaceae.
GUGACUAUAGUCCUCCUUGUCUAUAGGCGCGCGGCGGCUGUCUCGCCUAGGCCCGGUCUCGGGGCGUGACAGUUAAGGCGUGAUUAAUUAAGCAUUAACCAUCAGUGGAUCACAAAAGCUCAUAUAUAUUGACGACAGAAAUUUCUUUACAUAUACAAAUAGACAAAAUACAUUAAAAUCUCUAGUCGUUUCCCACCCACUGGUCGAGCCUAUUCUUGGAUGACAUCUUCUGGGCAUACUUAAGUUACACCGACUGCAUCUAAGAAAUAGAGAAGACAAGGGUGAGUACGAUAAAUCAUACUCAGCAAGCAAAUACUUCACUAUUCAAUAAGGAGCAAUGGUAUGAUGGUGUAGAUCAACAGACGAACUGAAUUCAGAGGAUAACAAUGUAACAACCAUUGGAAUCAUAUUUUGAUGUAAAUGGACAAAAGAACAAAAUACCAGAUUUAGUAAAAACAACAAGGAAUCUAUUGGCGUCACACAUGACCGCAAGCUUCCCAACCCGGGAGUCACAGGGUGAAAUUUCACACUUUUACGCUCUUAAGAGGGGUACUCCGACGUCGACAGCCUCGACUAGAACCACACAGGUUCCAGAAGAGCAGAGCUCUUUUACCCACUAAGUCCCGGACACCUGUACCUACUUAUGUCGGUCGCUCCUACGGAUCCAUCACCGACACGUUCCCGAACAAGAUCCGACCUUAACGGAGAGCCCAGACAGUCCCAUACCUAAACUGUGACCGGUACAAUACGUUUGCAGUCGUGACACCAAUAUAGAUGGAUGUGUGUUUGAAUCAACAUUAGGACCACUGAAGUAUCGGUCAAAGACAAUACACUCAUGGCUUUUCAUGAGUUCCUCCAAAAUACUCUGAUUCCAUCAACAAAUGGAUUAUGAGGAAAACACAUCCCUCUUUCAAGGAUCAAUAGAGGAUCAACAAAGAUCAAGGUGCAAUGAUAUUACCAGAUAAUCAAGCAAGACAACAAUAAGGAGAGAUCAGGGAGUUUAGCAAAGCAGCUACUUGCCUCAGAUAAUAUGAUUUCUCCUUUAGAAUAAUACUCUGCAAGAAGAUGAAACUCCAUCAUCUUUGUAUAAAAUCUGACGACCGCGCAUAUACUAAUAUUCUUCUGACGUAUGGCUUUGUUCUUCCCUCCAUCAGCAUCUACACGAUCUAUAUAUCUUCAAACAUGGACGCAUGCAUACUUGUAUUCUUCAUCUCUCUUCUCUUCGCUCUCUCCGCUGGUAUGCUCUAUUUCUCUCAUGCUCUCUCCUAGUAUCUUCUCUUCGCUCUAUUUCUCUCAUGCUCUCACUCUUGGUGAUGAGGAUGUGCAAAACGAGUAGCAGUAGCUAUUUAUAGAUGGUGAGCCCAGAGUGAACUCAGCCGAGCUGUUCUUGAAGCACACAAUCAUCUAGACUCUACCUAUUACGUGGCAUGCAUGCCUUGGUCUACGUGGAGAACCUGGUAAAAGAUCUAAGCCGCAAUGGCCUUUGACCCUUGCCCCUUGACCCUUCGAACUGCUG